RNAcentral lists this ribosomal RNA (253 nucleotides) under uncultured bacterium. Its description in RNAcentral is "partial 16S ribosomal RNA". It matches the Rfam family "Bacterial small subunit ribosomal RNA", at positions 524 to 776 of the family's 1533-position model. The record is from RNAcentral.
UACAGAGGUCUCAAGCGUUGUUCGGAUUCAUUGGGCGUAAAGGGUGCGUAGGUGGCCGGUUAAGUCUGACGUGAAAUCUCCGAGCCUAACUCGGAAACUGCAUCGGAAACUAUCCGGCUCGAGGGUUGGAGGGGGGACUGGAAUACUUGGUGUAGCAGUGAAAUGCGUAGAUAUCAAGUGGAACACCAGUGGCGAAGGCGAGUCCCUGGACAACUCCUGACACUGAGGCACGAAGGCCAGGGGAGCAAACGGG